RNAcentral lists this ribosomal RNA (417 nucleotides) under uncultured bacterium. RNAcentral describes it as "bacterial SSU rRNA". It matches the Rfam family "Bacterial small subunit ribosomal RNA", at positions 355 to 787 of the family's 1533-position model. The record is from RNAcentral.
UGGGGAAUAUUGGGCAAUGGGCGCAAGCCUGACCCAGCAACGCCGCGUGAAGGAAGAAGGCUUUCGGGUUGUAAACUUCUUUUCUUGGGGACGAACAAAUGACGGUACCCGAGGAAUAAGCCACGGCUAACUACGUGCCAGCAGCCGCGGUAAUACGUAGGUGGCAAGCGUUAUCCGGAUUUAUUGGGUGUAAAGGGCGUGUAGGCGGGAAUGCAAGUCAGAUGUGAAAACUAUGGGCUCAACCCAUAGCCUGCAUUUGAAACUGUAUUUCUUGAGUGCUGGAGAGGCAAUCGGAAUUCCGUGUGUAGCGGUGAAAUGCGUAGAUAUACGGAGGAACACCAGUGGCGAAGGCGGAUUGCUGGACAGUAACUGACGCUGAGGCGCGAAAGCGUGGGGAGCAAACAGGAUUAGAUACCC